This 253-nucleotide ribosomal RNA is filed under the name uncultured bacterium. Its description in RNAcentral is "partial 16S ribosomal RNA". It matches the Rfam family "Bacterial small subunit ribosomal RNA", at positions 524 to 776 of the family's 1533-position model. The record is from RNAcentral.
UACGUAGGGUGCGAGCGUUGUCCGGAAUUAUUGGGCGUAAAGAGCCUGUAGGCGGUUUGUCGCGUCUGCUGUGAAAUCUCAAGGCUCAACCUUGAGCUUGCAGUGGGUACGGGCAGACUAGAGUGUGGUAGGGGAGACUGGAAUUCCUGGUGUAGCGGUGAAAUGCGCAGAUAUCAGGAGGAACACCGAUGGCGAAGGCAGGUCUCUGGGCCACUACUGACGCUGAGAAGCGAAAGCAUGGGGAGCGAACAGG